This 180-nucleotide unclassified non-coding RNA is filed under the name soil metagenome. Its description in RNAcentral is "partial internal transcribed spacer 1". The record is from RNAcentral.
CCGAGUUUACAACUCCCAAACCCAUGUGAACGUACCAAACUGUUGCCUCGGCGGGGUCACGCCCCGGGUGCGUAAAAGCCCCGGAACCAGGCGCCCGCCGGAGGAACCAACCAAACUCUUUCUGUAGUCCCCUCGCGGACGUAUUUCUUACAGCUCUGAGCAAAAAUUCAAAAUGAAUCA